Molecule: long non-coding RNA, 2428 nt
Filed under: Mustela putorius furo (domestic ferret)
Lineage: Eukaryota; Metazoa; Chordata; Mammalia; Carnivora; Mustelidae
Description: lncRNA (ENSMPUG00000030852.1)
Source: RNAcentral
GAUUUUUUCUUUAUAGUUUGAGACACACUUUAGAGUUGUAAACAAACUACCCAUGAACAGAUAUCUUAGUUCUUAAUAAAAUUUCUUCCCUUGAAUUUUCAUUUGUGAUUCAUGAAUAACACUAAAUCUGAAAUUACACAAUCAAUUUAAGUAAAAUAAGGUCUCACAAACCACAAAUCAUGUUAUAUUUAUUCUAAGAGUUAAAUCUGCUACUAGUCAGUGUCAUAUCCAUGAACUGAAAUCUUUGAGACUGAUCAGACCCUAAUUUCUUAUACAGCAAUCCCUCUUUCACGCUCUUCAGUAUACAGAUUGUCUGGCUAAUUUCUACAGUCGAGUUUUGACUGUGAAAUGGCACUGAAGUUCAGCAGGACACAUUUCCUGUCUAUAUCCAUGGCUGUGGUGCAACUGGAGAGGUCCAUGUGCUGGAGUUUGGAAGGAUCAAAGCAAAUCUAUAGGCAUGGGUGGAGAAAUCAUUCAAUGUACAUGUAUGCUUGAGACUGAGUCAAUAUCUUCCUCACCCAGGAUUCCUGCUGUUGUAGGUUCACACAUUCUCCAUACUCUCCUCUACCCUUCACAGCAAGGUAAUAAUGGGAUUUUCAUUUGAAGGAGAGAACCCCUUACUAAUUAUGUUCUGUCAUCCCAUUACCCCUAUGGUAAUGAAUGAGUGGCUCUAACAGAAUUAGUUCUUAUAAAUCCUGUUCUUCCAGCCUUUCUGUAUGGAUUUCGAGUUUUCAUUAAGAUUAAGAACACAAAAUUUCUCAAAUUAAGAGUCAAACAAUACACAAACCCCAGAAAUUUUCAUACAUUAUGAAAGAAUUUGCAAGAGUCAAAAAAGAAAUUUUCCUUUCCAGUUAUUUAUAAAAUCAUUUAAUAAAACUGUGUUUGUUUUCAAAAUCUACUCCCUCCCAGGCUUUAAGACAUAAUCUCAGGAGAUAUAUAUGUACAUGUAUAUUUAUUUAUUUAUACAUACAAACUUAGAAAUAUUUAUUUUUGAAAAAUAUAAACAGAAAACCAACAAUACAAAGGAAGAUAUUUUAUAGAGUUUAGAAUUAAUAAUACCCACUCCACUGGCUUUCAUUUUCUAAUAUACUAAACCUUUGCCUGUAAGUAUUUACAUUUUUCAGGCAUUAAUAAACUUUAAAAAGUAGUCACUGCUGGAAUGGAAUCCUCCACAUAUAAAAAGUUGUAAUAGCAUUUCCAAAAAAAAUUCCAAGGCCUAAAAUAAUAGUGUUAAAGCAAUAUGAACCAGGCAUGUCAAUCUUGAAACAUCCAUGUAAAUUUUCAGUGCUAUUGUGAUAUUAAAGUACACAGGGAUUUCUUACACACAAUUCAAAUAUAGAAAACAGGUAUGCAGUUUACAUCAAUUAAAGAACUUUUGUUAAAUAAAAAGAGAAAGAGGAAACUAGAAAAUGUACAAGUAGAGCAUUAUUAUUACUAAAGAGACCAAUGCAAAUUAAAAUAACAAUACUCUACCUGCAGUAAGAGGUUAAAGUACUCAGUGAAGUUUAAUGUGAAGACACCUCUACUGUAUGACUCUACAAUUCUCUACCUGAGUAUGCAUGCUGUCCAGAGAAAUUCUUGCUUCAGUUCAUAAUGGGGUACGUAUAAGCAUGCUACUUCAACAUUGUGUGUGUGUGCAUGUACUUGAUGUGUGGAAGCAAUUUAAGUGUCCAUCAGUAAUGUGAUAGGUAAGUAAAUGUGUGGAUAGUCAGAAGUGAUAAACCAGAAGUACCUGGAGGAAGAAGAGAUCUUAAAAUUUAUUCCUGAGUGAAAAAAUAAAAUAAAAAGACAAAACCCAGAAAAGUAAAAGCAAAGACAAUAGUAUGAUAGGCAUUAUGUAAAAGUAAAAAUCCCAGUAUACAUCUAUAGAAGUAUUUCAGUAUUUUUAUGUAUCUUACAAAUUCACUUUUUUAGAAAGAUUUAUUUAUUUAUUCACUUUGGGAGAGAGGGGCAAAAGGAGAGAAACUUCAAGCAGACUCCCUGCUGAGUGUGGAGCCUGACACAGGGCUCCAUCUCACAACCCCGAGAUCGCAACCUAAGCCAAAACCUAGAGUUGGAUGCUUAAGACACUCAGGUGCCCCACAGCAAGUUCAUGUCUCCGGACAAUGUGUGCCGAGUAGGAAGUGGAAAGGGGAAAGAAAGAUGGGGUCGAUGGAGAAAAAAAUAAAUGCAAAAUAAAACAGCCACAGACCUUGAAGAAAUGGGAUAUGAUGAUGUGUUCUGAGCUGAGAGAUUUAACUUGUUUCUUUACAUCUGAAGUUGUACAAGAAAAAGAAAAGGAGGAGGUGGAAAGAAGAUGCAGAUGAAAGAAAAGAAGAGACUGAAGCAAACAUGUUAGUCUCAGUCUUCCUGAAUAGCUAAGGAUAUAAUUUAAGGUAAGUUUUAAACUCAAAGCAAAAGUGAAGUCAGUGUUCUGUGAGCGUGCCCA